GAGCCUACGGGAGGCAGCAGUGGGGAAUAUUGGGCAAUGGACGCAAGUCUGACCCAGCAACGCCGCGUGAAGGAAGAAGGCUUUCGGGUUGUAAACUUCUUUUAAGGGGGAAGAGCAGAAGACGGUACCCCUUGAAUAAGCCACGGCUAACUACGUGCCAGCAGCCGCGGUAAUACGUAGGUGGCAAGCGUUAUCCGGAAUUAUUGGGCGUAAAGAGCGCGCAGGUGGUUAAUUAAGUCUGAUGU
This 245-nucleotide ribosomal RNA is filed under the name uncultured bacterium. Its description in RNAcentral is "partial 16S ribosomal RNA". It matches the Rfam family "Bacterial small subunit ribosomal RNA", at positions 335 to 595 of the family's 1533-position model. The record is from RNAcentral.